This 213-nucleotide unclassified non-coding RNA is filed under the name plant metagenome. RNAcentral's name for it is "partial contains small subunit ribosomal RNA, internal transcribed spacer 1, and 5.8S ribosomal RNA". The record is from RNAcentral.
UUUCCGUAGGUGAACCUGCGGAAGGAUCAUUCAUAAUAAGUGUUUUAUGGCACUUUUUUAAAUCCAUAUCCACCUUGUGUGCAAUGUCAGGGUUGAUUUUUCUCUCGAGAGGAUCAACCCCAAACAUCAACUAUAUCUCAACUCUUUGUCUGUAAAAUAUUAUGAAUAAAACAAUUCAAAAUACAACUUUCAACAACGGAUCUCUUGGCUCUC